This 483-nucleotide ribosomal RNA is filed under the name uncultured bacterium. RNAcentral's name for it is "partial 16S ribosomal RNA". It matches the Rfam family "Bacterial small subunit ribosomal RNA", at positions 29 to 506 of the family's 1533-position model. The record is from RNAcentral.
AUUGAACGCUGGCGGAAUGCUUUACACAUGCAAGUCGAACGGCAGCACGGGGGCAGCCCUGGUGGCGAGUGGCGAACGGGUGAGUAAUACAUCGGAACGUGCCCGGUCGUGGGGGAUAACGUAGCGAAAGUUACGCUAAUACCGCAUACGAUCUGAGGAUGAAAGCGGGGGACCUUCGGGCCUCGCGCGAUCGGAGCGGCCGAUGUCAGAUUAGGUAGUUGGUGGGGUAAAGGCCUACCAAGCCGACGAUCUGUAGCUGGUCUGAGAGGACGACCAGCCACCUUGGGCCUGGGAAACGGCCCAGACCCCUACGGGGGGCAGCAGGGGGGAAUUUGGGAAAAGGGGGGCAACCCUGACCCAGCCAUCCCGGGGGAAGGACGAAGCCCUUCGGGUUGUAAACUGCUUUUUUACGGAAAAAAAAGGCUUUGGCUAAUACCGGGGGCUCAUGAGGGUACCGAAAAAAAAAGCACCGGCUAAUUACGU